RNAcentral lists this ribosomal RNA (1235 nucleotides) under human gut metagenome. Its description in RNAcentral is "bacterial LSU rRNA". It matches the Rfam family "Bacterial large subunit ribosomal RNA", at positions 1101 to 2325 of the family's 2925-position model. The record is from RNAcentral.
UUGGCUCAGAAGCAGCCACCAUUUAAAGAGUGCGUAAUAGCUCACUGGUCGAGAGGCCCUGCGCCGAAGAUUCCCGGGGCUAAAGUAUGGAACCGAAGCUACGGAUGCGGUACUUGUACCGCGUGGUAGAGGAGCGUUCCCAUUGGGUUGAAGUCGUCCUGGAAGGGACGGUGGACUGGUGGGAAGUGAGAAUGUUGGCAUGAGUAGCGAAAAGAUAGGUGAGAAUCCUAUCCACCGAAAGCAUAAGGAUUCCUGAGCAACGAUCGUCGUCUCAGGGUAAGUCGGGACCUAAUCCGAGGCAUGGAGCGUAGGAGAUGGACAACUGGUUGAUAUUCCAGUACCGGCAGCAAUCGUUUGAACGAUGGAGUGACGCAGGAAGGCAGGUCCGCGCGAGAAUGGUAGAUCGCGUACAAGCGUGCAGGCUGGUGCACAGGCAAAUCCGUGUACUGAGGCUGAGGCGUGAUGUGGAGGGAACUUGUUCCCGAAGGGAUUGAGCCUACGCUGCCGAGAAAAGCUUCUAGUGAGAAAGCUGCCGCCCGUACCGUAAACCGACACAGGUAUGCGGGGAGAGAAUCCUAAGGUGCGCGGGAGAACCCUCGUUAAGGAACUCGGCAAAAUGUACCCGUAACUUCGGGAUAAGGGUAGCCACAGUGGUGAAGGGACUUGCUCCUGGAGCCUAGUGUGGUCGCAGAGAAGAGGCCCAAGCGACUGUUAACCAGAAACACAGGUGCCUGCGAAAGAGAAAUCUGAUGUAUAGGUGCUGACACCUGCCCAGUGCUGGAAGGUUAAAGAAGGAUGUCCGGGUUCGACCCAAAGCAUUUGACUGAAGCCCCAGUGAACGGCGGCCGUAACUAUAACGGUCCUAAGGUAGCGAAAUUCCUUGUCGGGUAAGUUCCGACCCGCACGAAAGGUGUAACGAUUUGGGCACUGUCUCAACGAGGGACCCGGUGAAAUUGAAAUACCUGUGAAGAUGCAGGUUACCCGCGACUGGACAGAAAGACCCCAUGGAGCUUUACUGUAACCUAAUAUUGGGUUCUGAUAUUCGACGCACAGGAUAGGUGGGAGGCUUGGAGCAUGGUCCUCUGGGAUCAUGGGAGCCGCCGUUGGGAUACCACCCUUCGAAUAUCGGGAUUCUAACCGCAGGAGCAACGAUCCUCGGGACAGUGUUAGGCGGGCAGUUUGACUGGGGCGGUCGCCUCCUAAAGAGUAACGGAGGCGCCCAAAGGUUCCCUCAG